ACCUAUGACACGCGUGUCAGAGGUGACACGCGAAAUCAUUUUUUUGGUUGAUUUUUCUUUGUUAAAUGGCAUUUAAGUAUAUAAAAUAAAUAUCAAAAAUACAAAUCUUUGUUUUACUAUGUUUGCAAAUAUCAAAAAAUUUCUAUAUGUGACACAGCACCAGAGUUAAGUUAGGGUUUUUCAAAAUGCUGACACGCCGAGCUCAAAAGGUUCGCCAUCACUGUACUAAGGAAACAGCAUCUUUUAUAGUAUUAGUUUUCAAUAUACAUUUGUCCUCACAUACAGAAAAUUCUUAAAUGAUUUUGCAAAGUCUUACUGUUUUAAAAUGUUUUUAUGUGUUUGAGAAGACAUACUUUGUAUUCUAUACUUUCUAUUGUGUGGGAAUCAUCAGGAUGGGACAUUUAAUAUAUUUUUACUCUUUAAAGAGUUAGAACACAGCAAAAAUGAGGUUAGUGUGGGGUGGCAAUAGAGAACUGUAUUGGCUUUGAGAAGGGGAAAAACUAAGUAUUCAGAAUGAAUCACCUGUCUAUUAUGUAAUAGAUGAUUUCUGUAAUGUCCCCUCUCAUCUAGUUUCUUCCUCUGUGUUGGUUCAUUAGACUUACAGUUUCAUAAUGUACAACAGUUAUCUUUAAAUGCCUCUCCUGUAGAAUAUUAAGUAUUCUACCACUGAAGAGUUUGGAUGUGUAGUAAUUUUGUGAUGCUUUAGAAAAAUAUUCUAAGCACAAAAUAAACUUUUCUAAGACUUCACUAAA
Long non-coding RNA from Myotis daubentonii (Daubenton's bat), 752 nucleotides. RefSeq lists it as uncharacterized. The record is from RefSeq and is a predicted model, not a curated record. NCBI's taxonomy places the organism in Eukaryota, Metazoa, Chordata, Mammalia, Chiroptera, Vespertilionidae.